AUUGAACGCUGGCGGCAGGCCUAACACAUGCAAGUCGAGCGGCAGCGACAUAAACAAUCCUUCGGGUGCGCUUAUGGGCGGCGAGCGGCGGACGGGUGAGUAAUGCCUGGGAAUAUGCCCUGAUGUGGGGGAUAACCAUUGGAAACGAUGGCUAAUACCGCAUAAUCUCCUUGUUCAUUACGAGCGGGAGCAAAGAGGGGGACCUUCGGGCCUCUCGCGUCAGGAUUAGCCCAGGUGAGAUUAGCUAGUUGGUGAGGUAAGAGCUCACCAAGGCGACGAUCUCUAGCUGGUCUGAGAGGGAUGAUCAGCCACACUGGAACUGAGACACGGUCCAGACUCCUACGGGAGGCAGCAGUGGGGAAUAUUGCACAAUGGGGAAACCCUGAUGCAGCCAUGCCGCGUGUGUGAAGAAGGCCUUCGGGUUGUAA
This 428-nucleotide ribosomal RNA is filed under the name uncultured bacterium. RNAcentral's name for it is "bacterial SSU rRNA". It matches the Rfam family "Bacterial small subunit ribosomal RNA", at positions 30 to 428 of the family's 1533-position model. The record is from RNAcentral.